This is a long non-coding RNA of Homo sapiens (human), 1741 nucleotides long. Ensembl annotates it as glucosylceramidase beta 1 like, pseudogene. Its record names the gene GBA1LP. The record is from Ensembl. NCBI's taxonomy places the organism in Eukaryota, Metazoa, Chordata, Mammalia, Primates, Hominidae.
ACAUUGGGAAGCCAGAAUUACUUGCAGGAGUAACCUAGUGCCUAUAGCUAUGGCAGUGACCCUGAGGUGAUGGAGUUUUCAAGUCCUUCCAGAGAGGAAUGUCCCAAGCCUUCGGGUAGGGUGCCUUCAGCCGCUACAAGAGCAGAAGCAGUGGGCAUUGGAUGGAGCUGAGUACAGGACCAUACAGGCUAAUUGCACCGGCACAGGAAUCGGAUAUAACAUCAUCUGGGUACCCAUGGCCAGCUGUGACUUCUCCAUCCGCACCUACACCUAUGCAGACACCCCUGAUGAUUUCCAGUUGCACAACUUCAGCCUCCCAGAGGAAGAUACCAAGCUCAAGAUACCCCUGAUUCACCGAGCCCUGCAGUUGGCCCAGCGUCCCGUUUCACUCCUUGCCAGCCCCUGGACAUCACCCACUCGGCUCAAGACCAGGGGAGCGGGGAAUGGGAAGGGGCCACUCAAGGGACAGCCCAGAGACAUCUACCACCAGACCUGGGCCAGAUACAUUGUGAAGUUCCUGGAUGCCUAUGCUGAGCACAAGUUACAGUUCUGGGCAGUGACAGCUGAAAAUGAGCCUUCUGCUGGGCUGUUGAGUGGAUACCCCUUCCAGUGCCUGGGCUUCACCCCUGAACAUCAGCGAGACUUCAUUGCCCGUGACCUAGGUCCUACCCUUGCCAACGGUACUCACCACAAUGUCCGCCUACUCAUGCUGGAUGACCAACGCUUGCUGCUGCCCCACUGGGCAAAGGUGGUACUGACAGACCCAGAAGCAGCUAAAGGCCUGUGUGGGUUCCAAGUUCUGGGAGCAGAGUGUGCGGCUAGGCUCCUGGGAUCGAGGGAUGCAGUACAGCCACAGCAUCAUCACAAACCUCCUGUACCAUGUGGUCGGCUGGACCGACUGGAACCCAUCAUUGUAGACAUCACCAAGCACACGUUUUACAAACAGCCCAUGUUCUACCACCUUGGCCACUUCAGCAAGUUCAUUCCUGAGGGCUCCCAGAGAGUGGGGCUGGUUGCCAGUCAGAAGAACGACCCGGACGCAGUGGCACUGAUGCAUCCCGAUGGCUCUGCUGUUGUGGUCGUGCUAAACCGCUCCUCUAAGGAUGUGCCUCUUACCAUCAAGGAUCCUGCUGUGGGCUUCCUGGAGACAAUCUCACCUGGCUACUCCAUUCACACCUACCUGUGGCGUCGCCAGUGAUGGAGCAGAUACUCAAGGAGGCACUGGGCUCAGCCUGGGCAUUAAAGGGACAGAGUCAGCUCACACGCUGUCUGUGACUAAAGAGGGCACAGCAGGGCCAGUGUGAGCUUACAGCGACGUAAGCCCAGGGGCAAUGGUUUGGGUGACUCACUUUCCCCUCUAGGUGGUGCCAGGGGCUGGAGGCCCCUAGAAAAAGAUCAGUAAGCCCCAGUGUCCCCCCAGCCCCCAUGCUUAUGUGAACAUGCGCUGUGUGCUGCUUGCUUUGGAAACUGGGCCUGGGUCCAGGCCUAGGGUGAGCUCACUGUCCGUACAAACACAAGAUCAGGGCUGAGGGUAAGGAAAAGAAGAGACUAGGAAAGCUGGGCCCAAAACUGGAGACUGUUUGUCUUUCCUGGAGAUGCAGAACUGGGCCCGUGGAGCAGCAGUGUCAGCAUCAGGGCGGAAGCCUUAAAGCAGCAGCGGGUGUGCCCAGGCACCCAGAUGAUUCCUAUGGCACCAGCCAGGAAAAAUGGCAGCUCUUAAAGGAGAAAAUGUUUGAGCCCA